AGCUUCAUGGCGUAAUGGAAGCGCACUAGGUUCUCAAUUCAAGUCACCUGAAGGUCCUUUGAUCAAAACAGGGUGAGGCUA
Annulohypoxylon truncatum is the source of this 81-nucleotide non-coding RNA. Lineage: Eukaryota; Fungi; Ascomycota; Sordariomycetes; Xylariales; Hypoxylaceae. The record is from the annotation of a RefSeq genome assembly.